CAGCCGCCGCGGGAAAACGGAGGGUGCAAGCGUUAAUCGGAAUUACUGGGCGUAAAGCGUGCGCAGGCGGUUAUAUAAGACAGAUGUGAAAUCCCCGGGCUCAACCUGGGACCUGCAUUUGUGACUGUAUAGCUAGAGUACGGUAGAGGGGGAUGGAAUUCCGCGUGUAGCAGUGAAAUGCGUAGAUAUGCGGAGGAACACCGAUGGCGAAGGCAAUCCCCUGGACCUGUACUGACGCUCAUGCACGAAAGCGUGGGGAGCAAACAAGAUUAGAUACCCCCGUAGUCCCUGUCUCUUAUAC
RNAcentral lists this ribosomal RNA (301 nucleotides) under uncultured bacterium. RNAcentral describes it as "partial 16S ribosomal RNA". It matches the Rfam family "Bacterial small subunit ribosomal RNA", at positions 509 to 807 of the family's 1533-position model. The record is from RNAcentral.